GUUCGGAUUGCAGGCUGCAACUCGCCUGUAUGAAGCGGAAUUGCUAGUAAUCGCGGAUCAGCAUGCCGCGGUGAAUACGUUCCCGGGCCUUGUACACACCGCCCGUCACACCAUGAGAGUCGGGAACACCCGAAGUCCGUAGUCUAACCGCAAGGAGGGCGCGGCCGAAGGUGGGCUUGAUAAUUGGGGUGAAGUCGUAACAAGGUAAC
Molecule: ribosomal RNA, 209 nt
Filed under: uncultured bacterium
Lineage: Bacteria
Description: partial 16S ribosomal RNA
Rfam family: Bacterial small subunit ribosomal RNA
Source: RNAcentral